Molecule: ribosomal RNA, 498 nt
Filed under: uncultured bacterium
Lineage: Bacteria
Description: partial 16S ribosomal RNA
Rfam family: Bacterial small subunit ribosomal RNA
Source: RNAcentral
GAUGAACGCUAGCGGCAGGCCUAAUACAUGCAAGUCGAACGAUAGAAGAGGGCUUGCUCUCUUCGAAAGUGGCGCACGGGUGCGUAACGCGUAUGCAACCUACCUUAAUCAGGAGGAUAGCCCGAAGAAAUUCGGAUUAACACCGCAUAAAAUCACAGUACAGCAUUGUACAAUGAUCAAAUAUUUAUAGGAUUAAGAUGGGCAUGCGUGACAUUAGCUAGUUGGCGGGGUAACGGCCCACCAAGGCGACGAUGUCUAGGGGAUCUGAGAGGAUGACCCCCCACACUGGUGCUGAGACACGUACCAGACUCCUACGGGAUGCAGCAGUAAGGAAUAUUGGUCAAUGGAGGCAACUCUGAACCAGCCAUGCCGCGUGCAGGAAGACGGCCCUCUGGGUUGUAAACUGCUUUUAUUCGGGAAUAAACCUCAUUAUGUAUAGUGAGCUGAAUGUACCGAAGGAAUAAGGAUCGGCUAACUCCGUGCCAGCAGCCGCCGUAA